CCUACGGGUGGCUGCAGUGAGGAAUAUUGGUCAAUGGGCGAGAGCCUGAACCAGCCAAGUCGCGUGAAGGAUGACGGCCCUACGGGUUGUAAACUUCUUUUGUCAGGGAGCAAUUGGGUCCACGCGUGGGCUUAGGGAGAUUACCUGAAGAUAAAGCAUGGGCUAACCCCGUCCCAGCAGCCGCGGUAAUACGGGGGUUGCAAGGGUUACCCGGAUUUAUGGGGUUUAAGGGGUGCGUAGGCGGAAUAUCAAGUCGGCGGUAAAGAUUCGGGGCGAAACCCCGUCGUGCCGUUGAAACUGAUGUUCUUGAGGGGGCGAGAGGUAUGCGGAAUGCGUGGUGUAGCGGUGAAAUGCAUAGAUAUCACGCAGAACUCCGAUUGCGAAGGCAGCAUACC
RNAcentral lists this ribosomal RNA (395 nucleotides) under uncultured bacterium. RNAcentral describes it as "partial 16S ribosomal RNA". It matches the Rfam family "Bacterial small subunit ribosomal RNA", at positions 338 to 730 of the family's 1533-position model. The record is from RNAcentral.